AACGAACGCUGGCGGCAUGCCUAACACAUGCAAGUCGAACGAGACCUUCGGGUCUAGUGGCGCACGGGUGCGUAACGCGUGGGAACCUGCCCUUAGGUUCGGAAUAACUCCCCGAAAGGGGUGCUAAUACCGGAUAAUGUCUUCGGACCAAAGAUUUAUCGCCUUUGGAUGGGCCCGCGUUGGAUUAGCUAGUUGGUAGGGUAAAGGCCUACCAAGGCGACGAUCCAUAGCUGGUCUGAGAGGAUGAUCAGCCACACUGGGACUGAGACACGGCCCAGACUCCUACGGGAGGCAGCAGUGGGGAAUAUUGGACAAUGGGCGAAAGCCUGAUUCAGCAAUGCCGCGUGAGUGAUGAAGGCCUUAGGGUUGUAAAGCUCUUUUACCCGGGAUGAUAAUGACAGUACCGGGAGAAUAAGCUCCGGCUAACUCCGUG
This 433-nucleotide ribosomal RNA is filed under the name uncultured bacterium. RNAcentral's name for it is "partial 16S ribosomal RNA". It matches the Rfam family "Bacterial small subunit ribosomal RNA", at positions 29 to 507 of the family's 1533-position model. The record is from RNAcentral.